RNAcentral lists this ribosomal RNA (1297 nucleotides) under Enterobacter cloacae. RNAcentral describes it as "bacterial SSU rRNA". It matches the Rfam family "Bacterial small subunit ribosomal RNA", at positions 136 to 1428 of the family's 1533-position model. Lineage: Bacteria; Pseudomonadati; Pseudomonadota; Gammaproteobacteria; Enterobacterales; Enterobacteriaceae. The record is from RNAcentral.
GAGGGGGAUAACUACUGGAAACGGUAGCUAAUACCGCAUAACGUCGCAAGACCAAAGAGGGGGACCUUCGGGCCUCUUGCCAUCAGAUGUGCCCAGAUGGGAUUAGCUAGUAGGUGGGGUAACGGCUCACCUAGGCGACGAUCCCUAGCUGGUCUGAGAGGAUGACCAGCCACACUGGAACUGAGACACGGUCCAGACUCCUACGGGAGGCAGCAGUGGGGAAUAUUGCACAAUGGGCGCAAGCCUGAUGCAGCCAUGCCGCGUGUAUGAAGAAGGCCUUCGGGUUGUAAAGUACUUUCAGCGGGGAGGAAGGUGUUGUGGUUAAUAACCGCAGCAAUUGACGUUACCCGCAGAAGAAGCACCGGCUAACUCCGUGCCAGCAGCCGCGGUAAUACGGAGGGUGCAAGCGUUAAUCGGAAUUACUGGGCGUAAAGCGCACGCAGGCGGUCUGUCAAGUCGGAUGUGAAAUCCCCGGGCUCAACCUGGGAACUGCAUUCGAAACUGGCAGGCUGGAGUCUUGUAGAGGGGGGUAGAAUUCCAGGUGUAGCGGUGAAAUGCGUAGAGAUCUGGAGGAAUACCGGUGGCGAAGGCGGCCCCCUGGACAAAGACUGACGCUCAUGUGCGAAAGCGUGUGGAGCAAACAGGAUUAGAUACCCUGGUAGUCCACGCCGUAAACGAUGUCUAUUUGGAGGUUGUGCCCUUGAGGCGUGUCUUCCGGAGCUAACGCGUUAAAUCGACCGCCUGGGGAGUACGGCCGCAAGGUUAAAACUCAAAUGAAUUGACGGGGGCCCGCACAAGCGGUGGAGCAUGUGGUUUAAUUCGAUGCAACGCGAAGAACCUUACCUGGUCUUGACAUCCACAGAACUUUCCAGAGAUGGAUUGGUGCCUUCGGGAACUGUGAGACAGGUGCUGCAUGGCUGUCGUCAGCUCGUGUUGUGAAAUGUUGGGUUAAGUCCCGCAACGAGCGCAACCCUUAUCCUUUGUUGCCAGCGGUUAGGCCGGGAACUCAAAGGAGACUGCCAGUGAUAAACUGGAGGAAGGUGGGGAUGACGUCAAGUCAUCAUGGCCCUUACGACCAGGGCUACACACGUGCUACAAUGGCGCAUACAAAGAGAAGCGACCUCGCGAGAGCAAGCGGACCUCAUAAAGUGCGUCGUAGUCCGGAUUGGAGUCUGCAACUCGACUCCAUGAAGUCGGAAUCGCUAGUAAUCGUAGAUCAGAAUGCUACGGUGAAUACGUUCCCUGGGCCUUGUACACACCGCCCGUCACACCAUGGGAGUGGGUUGCAAAAGAAGUA